GAUGAUCGCUGGCGGCGUGCCUAAUACAUGCAAGUCGAGCGAACGGACGAGAAGCUUGCUUCUCUGAUGUUAGCGGCGGACGGGUGAGUAACACGUGGAUAACCUACCUAUAAGACUGGGAUAACUUCGGGAAACCGUAGCUAAUACCGGAUAAUAUUUUGAACCGCAUGGUUCAAAAGUGAAAGACGGUCUUGCUGUCACUUAUAGAUGGAUCCGCGCUGCAUUAGCUAGUUGGUAAGGUAACGGCUUACCAAGGCAACGAUGCAUAGCCGACCUGAGAGGGUGAUCGGCCACACUGGAACUGAGACACGGUCCAGACUCCUACGGGAGGCAGCAGUAGGGAAUCUUCCGCAAUGGGCGAAAGCCUGGCGGAGCAACGCCGCGUGAGUGAUGAAGGUCUUCGGAUCGUAAAACUCUGUUAUUAGGGAAGAACAUAUGUGUAAGUAACUGUGCACAUCUUGACGGUACCUAAUCAGAAAGCCACGGCUAACUACGUG
RNAcentral lists this ribosomal RNA (497 nucleotides) under uncultured bacterium. Its description in RNAcentral is "partial 16S ribosomal RNA". It matches the Rfam family "Bacterial small subunit ribosomal RNA", at positions 28 to 507 of the family's 1533-position model. The record is from RNAcentral.